UCAAGAAACUUCCACAAUGGGCGAAAGCCUGAUGGAGCGACGUCGCGUGAUGGACGAAGUGCUUCGGCACGUAAACAUCUUUUAUGUGGGAUGAAAUUAUUGACAGUACCACAUGAAUAAGGGGCUCCUAACUCUGUGCCAGCAGGAGCGGUAAUACAGAGGCCCCAAGCGUUAUCCGGAAUCACUGGGCGUAAAGGGUGUCGAGGCGGUCGUAUUAGUCGUUCGUAAAAUCUACGAGCUUAACUUGUAGGCGGCGAACGAAACGGUACGACUUGAGGUUUGGAGAGGUGCGUGGAACUCACGGUGUAGGGGUGAAAUCCGUUGAUAUCGUGGGGAACACCAAAGGCGAAGGCAGCGCACUGGCCAAAAUCUGACGCUCACACACGAAAGCUAGGGUAGCGAAGAGGAUUAGAUACCCUUGUAGUCCCUGAG
This 432-nucleotide ribosomal RNA is filed under the name uncultured bacterium. Its description in RNAcentral is "bacterial SSU rRNA". It matches the Rfam family "Bacterial small subunit ribosomal RNA", at positions 355 to 801 of the family's 1533-position model. The record is from RNAcentral.